GGGAUAAGAACUACGCAUAUCAGACUCGACCUCUCAAGUAUCUUUAUCUACUGGUCGAUUUCUCCACUGGACCUUAACCACAGGGAUCAAUCUAGAUUGCAACCGCCUAACAUCCCUAGCCAAAAUGGAAACUGGCUCCUCAACAAAGGAUAACCACUCAUCUAACUGAACCGACUCCCAACGAAUGAUAUGAGACUCAUCAAGAAU
This 207-nucleotide long non-coding RNA is filed under the name Capsicum annuum. Its description in RNAcentral is "long non-coding RNA (CANN_LNC010237)". Lineage: Eukaryota; Viridiplantae; Streptophyta; Magnoliopsida; Solanales; Solanaceae. The record is from RNAcentral.